GCGGGCCCUACACAUUGCAAGUUCGAGCGGUAGCACAGAGAGCUUGCUCUCGGGUGACGAGCGGCGGACGGGUGAGUAAUGUCUGGGAAACUGCCUGAUGGAGGGGGAUAACUACUGGAAACGGUAGCUAAUACCGCAUAACGUCGCAAGACCAAAGUGGGGGACCUUCGGGCCUCAUGCCAUCAGAUGUGCCCAGAUGGGAUUAGCUAGUAGGUGGGGUAACGGCUCACCUAGGCGACGAUCCCUAGCUGGUCUGAGAGGAUGACCAGCCACACUGGAACUGAGACACGGUCCAGUCUCCUACGGGACGCAGCAGUGGGGAAUAUUGCACAAUGGGCGCAAGCCUGAUGCAGCCAUGCCGCGUGUGUGAAGAAGGCCUUCGGGUUGUAAAGCACUUUCAGCGGGGAGGAAGG
Molecule: ribosomal RNA, 413 nt
Filed under: Klebsiella pneumoniae
Lineage: Bacteria; Pseudomonadati; Pseudomonadota; Gammaproteobacteria; Enterobacterales; Enterobacteriaceae
Description: bacterial SSU rRNA
Rfam family: Bacterial small subunit ribosomal RNA
Source: RNAcentral